GUGAACGCUGGCGGUAGGCCUAACACAUGCCAGUCGAACGGCAGCACAGUAAGAGCUUGCUCUUACGGGUGGCGAGUGGCGGACGGGUGAGGAAUACAUCGGAAUCUACUUUUUCGUGGGGGCUAACGUAGGGAAACUUACGCUAAUACCGCAUACGACUUACGGGUGAAAGCAGGGGAUCUUCGGACCUUGCGCGAUUGAAUGAGCCGAUGUCGGAUUAGCUAGUUGGCGGGGUAAAGGCCCACCAAGGCGACGAUCCGUAGCUGGUCUGAGAGGAUGAUCAGCCACACUGGAACUGAGACACGGUCCAGACUCCUACGGGAGGCAGCAGUGGGGAAUAUUGGACAAUGGGCGCAAGCCUGAUCCAGCCAUACCGCGUGGGUGAAGAAGGCCUUCGGGUUGUAAAGCCCUUUUGUUGGGAAAGAAAAGCAGCAGGUUAAUACCCCGCUGUUCUGACGGUACCCAAAGAAUAAGCACCGGCUAACUUCGUG
Molecule: ribosomal RNA, 491 nt
Filed under: uncultured bacterium
Lineage: Bacteria
Description: partial 16S ribosomal RNA
Rfam family: Bacterial small subunit ribosomal RNA
Source: RNAcentral